Molecule: long non-coding RNA, 2332 nt
Organism: Leptopilina boulardi
Lineage: Eukaryota; Metazoa; Arthropoda; Insecta; Hymenoptera; Figitidae
Exons: 3
Source: RefSeq, a predicted model, not a curated record
UACUAACUAAAAAUUGAAAAAACAACAAUAAAUAAUAAAAAAUAAUAAUAAAAAAUUGAAAAAAUCAAAAAAUUCUUAAAAAAUUGCAAAAUAACGCUUUAUCGGGUUAAAAUUGAAAAAUAACCCUUUUUCGGGUUAAAAUUGAAAAAAGAUGUUACAUAAAAAUAGUUUGUAAGAUUUUCUAACAGCAUAUAUGCAAAGUAUUUUGAUUUAUUUGAAAAUAAUUGAAAAUAGAUUUUUCAAGGACGGUGUCGAGGUCACGGGGUCGGUGUCGUUUUUCGAAAUUUGUUAACUUAAUAUAAUAGAAGAUGUUUCAUUUUAAAUUAAGAAAUGAUAAAAUUAUUAAGUUAAAAACAUUUGAUUUUAAUGACACUUAAAAUUAGACACAAUAUUAUAGGUUACUAACUAAAAAUUGAAAAAACAACAAUAAAUAAUAAAAAAUAAUAAUAAAAAAUUGAAAAAAUCAAAAAAUUCUUAAAAAAUUGCAAAAUAACCCUUUUUCGGGUUAAAAUUGAAAAAAGAUGUUACAUAAAAAUAGUUCGUAAGAUUUUCUAACAGCAUAUAUGCAAAGUAUUUUGAUUUAUUUGAAAAUAAUUGAAAAUAGAUUUUUCAAGGACGGUGUCGAGGUCACGGGGUCGGUGUCGUUUUUCGAAAUUUGUUAACUUAAUAUAAUAGAAGAUGUUUCGCUUUAAAUUAAGAAAUGUUAAAAUUAUUAAGUUAAAAACAUUUGAUUUUAAUGACACUUAAAAUUAGACACAAUAUUAUAGGUUACUAACUAAAAAUUGAAAAAACAACAAUAAAUAAUAAAAAAUAAUAAUAAAAAAUUGAAAAAAUCAAAAAAUUCUUAAAAAAUUGUAAAAUAACCCUUUUUCGGGUUAAAAUUUCAAAAUAACCCUUUUUCGGGUUAAAAUUGAAAAAUAACCCUUUUUCGGGUUAAAAUUGAAAAAAGAUGUUACAUAAAAAUAGUUUGUAAGAUUUUCUAACAGCAUAUAUGCAAAGUAUUUUGAUUUAUUUGAAAAUAAUUGAAAAUAGAUUUUUCAAGGACGGUGUCGAGGUCACGGGAUCGGUGUCGUUUUUCGAAAUUUGUUAACUUAAUAUAAUAGAAGAUGUUUCGUUUUAAAUUAAGAAAUGUUAAAAUUAUUAAGUUAAAAACAUUUGAUUUUAAUGACACUUAAAAUUAGACACAAUAUUAUAGGUUACUAACUAAAAAUUGAAAAAACAACAAUAAAUAAUAAAAAAUAAUAAUAAAAAAUUGAAAAAAUCAAAAAAUUCUUAAAAAAUUGCAAAAUAACCCCUUUUCGGGUUAAAAUUGCAAAAUAACCCUUUUUCGGGUUAAAAUUGAAAAAUAACCCUUUUUCGGGUUAAAAUUGAAAAAAGAUGUUACAUAAAAAUAGUUUGUAAGAUUUUCUAACAGCAUAUAUGCAAAGUAUUUUGAUUUAUUUGAAAAUAAUUGAAAAUAGAUUUUUCAAGGACGGUGUCGAGGUCACGGGGUCGGUGUCGUUUUUCGAAAUUUGUUAACUUAAUAUAAUAGAAGAUGUUUCGUUUUAAAUUAAGAAAUGUUAAAAUUAUUAAGUUAAAAACAUUUGAUUUUAAUGACACUUAAAAUUAGACACAAUAUUAUAGGUUACUAACUAAAAAUUGAAAAAACAACAAUAAAUAAUAAAAAAUAAUAAUAAAAAAUUGAAAAAAUCAAAAAAUUCUUAAAAAAUUGCAAAAUAACCCCUUUUCGGGUUAAAAUUGCAAAAUAACCCUUUUUCGGGUUAAAAUUGAAAAAUAACCCUUUUUCGGGUUAAAAUUGAAAAAAGAUGUUACAUAAAAAUAGUUUGUAAGAUUUUCUAACAGCAUAUAUGCAAAGUAUUUUGAUUUAUUUGAAAAUAAUUGAAAAUAGAUUUUUCAAGGACGGUGUCGAGGUCACGGGGUCGGUGUCGUUUUUCGAAAUUUGUUAACUUAAUAUAAUAGAAGAUGUUUCGUUUUAAAUUAAGAAAUGUUAAAAUUAUUAAGUUAAAAACAUUUGAUUUUAAUGACACUUAAAAUUAGACACAAUAUUAUAGGUUACUAACUAAAAAUUGAAAAAACAACAAUAAAUAAUAAAAAAUAAUAAUAAAAAAUUGAAAAAAUCAAAAAAUUCUUAAAAAAUUGCAAAAUAACCCCUUUUCGGGUUAAAAUUGCAAAAUAACCCUUUUUCGGGUUAAAAUUGAAAAAUAACCCUUUUUCGGGUUAAAAUUGAAAAAAGAUGUUACAUAAAAAUAGUUUGUAAGAUUUUCUAACAGCAUAUAUGCAAAGUAUUUUGAUUUAUUUGAAAAUAAUUGAAAAUAGAUUUUUCAAGGACGGC